Long non-coding RNA from Dermacentor silvarum, 288 nucleotides. RefSeq lists it as uncharacterized. The transcript is spliced from 2 exons. NCBI's taxonomy places the organism in Eukaryota, Metazoa, Arthropoda, Arachnida, Ixodida, Ixodidae. The record is from RefSeq and is a predicted model, not a curated record.
UAAAAAGACCACUUUUAUUGGUACUCCGUAUGUACAAAGCACCUCAUUGGUACAACAGAAAAGUGUUGCACUGAAACUCGUGCCAUGCAAAAUGGCAACAUACCAAGAGAUUGGAUUAAUUUAGGUGAAUGUACAGCGUUAUUGCUUCUGCGAGAAGUGGUACAAGUGGAAAAAAGAAAAAGGAACAGCUGAUAUCACAAAUGUAUCUGUUACGAAAGUAAAUUUGUUCGGCGACCGUGGCGACAUGGAUGGUACGCCGUUAAGGGAGAAAAAAAAAAAAGGAAAUAA